RNAcentral lists this transfer RNA (64 nucleotides) under Cavia porcellus (domestic guinea pig). It matches the Rfam family "tRNA", at positions 1 to 62 of the family's 71-position model. Rfam says of the family: Transfer RNA (tRNA) molecules are approximately 80 nucleotides in length. The record is from Rfam by way of RNAcentral. Lineage: Eukaryota; Metazoa; Chordata; Mammalia; Rodentia; Caviidae.
GGGGAUUUAGCUCAGCAGUGAAAGCGCCUGUCUGGCAAGCACAAGGCUGUGAGUUCAAUCCCCA